Molecule: ribosomal RNA, 252 nt
Filed under: uncultured bacterium
Lineage: Bacteria
Description: partial 16S ribosomal RNA
Rfam family: Bacterial small subunit ribosomal RNA
Source: RNAcentral
UACGUAGGUGGCAAGCGUUAUCCGGAUUUAUUGGGUUUAAAGGGUGCGUAGGCGGGCUUUUAAGUCAGCGGUAAAAAUUCGGGGCUCAACCCCGUCCGGCCGUUGAAACUGGGGGUCUUGAGUGGGCGAGAAGAAGGCGGAAUGCGUGGUGUAGCGGUGAAAUGCAUAGAUAUCACGCAGAACCCCGAUUGGGAAGGCAGCCUUCCGGCGCCCUACUGACGCUGAGGCACGAAAGUGCGGGGAUCGAACAGG